Long non-coding RNA from Corvus hawaiiensis (hawaiian crow), 782 nucleotides. RefSeq lists it as uncharacterized. The transcript has 2 exons. NCBI's taxonomy places the organism in Eukaryota, Metazoa, Chordata, Aves, Passeriformes, Corvidae. The record is from RefSeq and is a predicted model, not a curated record.
CUUUUCCAAUCAAACUCGGAAGCGGACAAGCCCAAAGCUCUGUCUGGCUGCUCAGGAACAAAAGGAACAAAACUGCCAGGGGCCCCAUUUGUGAGCUAUUCAAUCCUUUGCCAUCGGACUUUGGACAAAGGAAGAGAAGGAUCUGUUCCACACGGGUGUCAUCCAACAAGAACAGCCCCUGUGCCAUCCCCAGCCUGUGCCGAGCACGCUGCCUCACUUUCCCCGUUCUGGAUUCUGGCUCCAAUCCAGUCUGCGUUUUCCCCUAUUUUCCAUGUCUAGAGACAGGAAAUUGUCCUGGUCAGGGUGCUAAGACCUUAAACUGCACGUUGGUCUGGGGGGCUGUGACUGGGAUUCCAGCAGGGAAUUCAUGGUUGUACGAAUGAAAACUAUUCCAGGGGGCAGCACUGAAAAAGUUGGGAGCUGCUGCUUCACCACACGGUGUCAGCAAAAGAGAGCACACACAAAAUGUGUAGCCAAAACCAAGGAUAAAAUGAUUCCUCCUGCUCUUAGUGGGACCAGGGCUAAUUCUGCCCUGGAAUGACAAAGACCUUCUCCCUCAGACCCCCAGAGAGCCCUCGAAAAGCUAAAGUGCAGCAGGGAAGGAAGGAAGGAAAGGCACCUCUGCCUCACCUGCUGGGGACAGCACAGGUCCUGCUGCUCCCGGGGGCUGGGAAUGUGUCCGGAGCCAAAAGCACCUUCCCAGGCUGCAGGGGCUUUCCUAAAGCACCACCUGUGGGAAGCCAAGGGCUGUGGAAGAAAUGGAGUGGGACUUUACAGUAAUA